AUGGACGUGCAUGUGGCUUAAUGGGUUAGUGCAUGGAAAUAGGUGGGUUAGUGGCCGGGCAUGGUGGCCGGGUUAGUGGGUGCCUCUAUCUCAUGUGUGUAUAUAAGUCAUUUGAGUGAAUGAAAAAAGGAGGCCGUGAGGGUUUGGCAAAAUGUAGCACUUGUAGUGUCACCGGGAGUUACAAGCCAAAGCAGUUUUUCUCCACGGUGAGGGGUGGGUGUGUGCGUGUGUUUUCUUGAGCUUUCACAUGUGUGCGUGAGUGUUCAAGAGAAACAAGAGACUAGAGAGUUUUGUGAGGCAACCAAGAGGCAGAAGAAGAAGCGGCGCUGCGAGGAGGCGGCGCCAACAAUUGGUAUUAGAGCCUGGUUAUCAUGGGCGUCGUUCGUCAUGCUGGAGGCGUGUCGGCAAGGGGGGCGUUCGUCGGCGGCCGCGCGAAGCUCCGGACUGUGUGUCGGCCUAUGGAGGUGCGCGGCGAUGUGGUUGCCAUGGCCGACACGGUGGAGGAGACGCGACGGACUCCAUGAGAGAGGGACGUCGGUGGCGCAAGGUGGACGCCGUUGGCGGCGUGAUGCUGCUUGCGGCUGGUGUGUGUCUUCAUCAUCGUCGAGCUACGUCACGAGUGAUGGAGAUAGGUAUGUCGCCUGGUAAGUUGUGUCACCGGCGGCAUGGAGGUGGUGGCCAUGGAGCGGAGGCCAUUGCCAUAAGGACUUCCAUGUGCGAGUCGUCGACAAGGUGCGUCAUCGUCGACAACAUGAAGGUGAGUCACCGGUGACGAACAUGAAGGCAAGUCACCGGCGAGUUGUGGCACCGGUGACAAACGUGCGACAACGAGCGUGCCACGACGAGGCACUUGUGUUGAAGGUGUAGAAGGUGUGGCUCUCAUCGAGGCCAACGGCGGCGAUGGUUAUCGGCGUGACAAGAUGGCAAUGGCGGACGUCUCCGUGUUGCACCAACGACAUCGACGACCACGGGUUUGAAAAGUAAUAAGGGACAACAAGGUUAAGAAGGUGAUUGUUAGAGUUAACCUUGUUGUAUAGGUGAUUACAUCAUGUUGGAUUUGUUUUGCGUUGAGUCAUGCAUGUAGACUUGUCCAUUUACUAAGCUGCGGCAUGUGUACGCACAUAAGAUGAAAUCAUGUGGGUGCAUGUAACCUAGUAGUGGGUCAGCUGAGUUAGUUGAUUUAGUCAAGGUAGUUAGUUUGUUAGCUGCAUGCUAGCUGAUGACCAGGUGUGCGGUUAUUGAGGAAACGCUGCAAGCGGGGCUGUACAUGGACGUGCAUGUGGCUUAAUGGGUUAGUGCAUGGAAAUAGGUGGG
This 1314-nucleotide long non-coding RNA is filed under the name Hordeum vulgare. Its description in RNAcentral is "long non-coding RNA (HVUL_LNC020488)". The record is from RNAcentral. Lineage: Eukaryota; Viridiplantae; Streptophyta; Magnoliopsida; Poales; Poaceae.